UGAACGCUGGCGGCGUGCCUAACACAUGCAAGUCGAACGGGAAGCCUUUGAUUUAUCAGAGGUGGAGAGUGGCGCACGGGUGAGUAACACGUAGCUGACCUGCCCCGGAGCGGGGGAUAACCACUGGAAACGGUGGCUAAUACCCCAUAAUUUCGCCCUGAUUAGAAGGGGGCGAGGAAAACGCGCACUUCGGUGCGAGGUGCUCUGGGAGGGGGCUGCGGUCCAUCAGCUAGUUGGUGAGGUAAAAGCUCACCAAGGCGAAGACGGAUAGGGGACCUGAGAGGGUGACCCCCCACACUGGGACUGAGACACGGCCCAGACUCCUACGGGAGGCAGCAGUGAGGAAUAUUGCGCAAUGGACGAAAGUCAGACGCAGCAACGCCGCGUGAGUGAAGAAGGCCUUCGGGUUGUAAAACUCUUUUCUGGGGGAAGAGGAAGGACGGUACCCCAGGAAUAAGUGUCGGCUAACUAC
Molecule: ribosomal RNA, 472 nt
Filed under: uncultured bacterium
Lineage: Bacteria
Description: bacterial SSU rRNA
Rfam family: Bacterial small subunit ribosomal RNA
Source: RNAcentral